GACGAACGCUGGCGGCGUGCCUAAUACAUGCAAGUAGAACGCUGAAGGAGGAGCUUGCUUCUCUGGAUGAGUUGCGAACGGGUGAGUAACGCGUAGGUAACCUGCCUGGUAGCGGGGGAUAACUAUUGGAAACGAUAGCUAAUACCGCAUAAGAGUAGAUGUUGCAUGACAUUUGCUUAAAAGGUGCAAUUGCAUCACUACCAGAUGGACCUGCGUUGUAUUAGCUAGUUGGUGGGGUAACGGCUCACCAAGGCGACGAUACAUAGCCGCACGGAGAUGGGGAGCGGCCACACUGGGACUGUGACACGGCCCAGACUCCUACGGGAAGCAGCAGUAGGGAAUCUUCGGCAAUGGACGGAAGUCUGACCGAGCAACGCCGCGGGAGUGAAGAAGGUUGUCGGAUCGUAAAGCUCGGUUGUAAGAGAAGAACGAGUGUGAGAGUGGAAAGUUCACACUGUGACGGUAUCUUACCAGAAAGGGACGGCUAACUACGUG
RNAcentral lists this ribosomal RNA (495 nucleotides) under uncultured bacterium. Its description in RNAcentral is "partial 16S ribosomal RNA". It matches the Rfam family "Bacterial small subunit ribosomal RNA", at positions 28 to 507 of the family's 1533-position model. The record is from RNAcentral.